CCUACGGGAGGCAGCAGUGGGGAAUAUUGCACAAUGGAGGGAACUCUGAUGCAGCGACGCCGCGUGAGUGAAGAAGGAAUUCGUUAUGUAAAGCUCUAUCAGCAGGGAAGAAAGUGACGGUAACUGAAAAAGAAGCUCAGGCGAAAUACGUGCCAGCAGCCGAGGUAAUACGUAUGGAGCAAGCGGUAUCCGGACUUACUGGGUGGAAAGGGAGAGUAGGUGGCAGAGCAAGUCCGAAGUGAAAACCAAAAGCUCAAUUAUGGGAAUGCUUUAGAAAGUGCUCAGCUAGAGUGCAGGAGAGGCAAGUGGAAUGCUUAGUGUAGCGGUGAAAUGCGUAGAUAUUAGGAGGAACACCAGUGGCGAAGGCGGCUUGCUGGACUGUAACUGACACUGAGGCUCGAAAGCGUGGGGAGCAAACAGGAUUAGAUACCCUUGUAGUC
This 440-nucleotide ribosomal RNA is filed under the name uncultured bacterium. RNAcentral's name for it is "partial 16S ribosomal RNA". It matches the Rfam family "Bacterial small subunit ribosomal RNA", at positions 338 to 795 of the family's 1533-position model. The record is from RNAcentral.